This is a small nuclear RNA of Sorex fumeus (smoky shrew), 115 nucleotides long. RefSeq annotates it as U5 spliceosomal RNA. The transcript has a single exon. The record is from RefSeq and is a predicted model, not a curated record. Lineage: Eukaryota; Metazoa; Chordata; Mammalia; Eulipotyphla; Soricidae.
GUACUCUGGAUUCUCUUCAGAUUGCUUAAAUAUAUGUGUUUUACUAAAGAUUCUAAUGAAGAGAAACAAUUCUGAGUUUUGAACUAAUUUUUUGAGGCCUUGCUUCUGUAAGGCC